UAGGGANUCUUCCGCAAUGGGCGAAAGCCUGACGGAGCAACGCCGCGUGAGUGAAGAAGGAUUUCGGUUCGUAAAGCUCUGUUGUUAGGGAAGAAUGGAUAUGUAGUAACUAUACAUAUAAGAGACGGUACCUAACCAGAAAGCCACGGCUAACUACGUGCCAGCAGCCGCGGUAAUACGUAGGUGGCAAGCGUUGUCCGGAAUUAUUGGGCGUAAAGCGCGCGCAGGUGGUUUAAUAAGUCUGAUGUGAAAGCCCACGGCUCAACCGUGGAGGGUCAUUGGAAACUGUUAAACUUGAGUGCAGGAGAGAAAAGUGGAAUUCCUAGUGUAGCGGUGAAAUGCGUAGAGAUUAGGAGGAACACCAGUGGCGAAGGCGGCUUUUUGGCCUGUAACUGACACUGAGGCGCGAAAGCGUGGGGAGCAAACAGGAUUAGAUACCCUGGUAGUCCACGCCGUAAACGAUGAGUGCUAAGUGUUGGUCUCAUAAGAGAUCAGUGCUGCAGCUAACGCAUUAAGCACUCCGCCUGGGGAGUACGACCGCAAGGUUG
RNAcentral lists this ribosomal RNA (548 nucleotides) under uncultured bacterium. RNAcentral describes it as "bacterial SSU rRNA". It matches the Rfam family "Bacterial small subunit ribosomal RNA", at positions 355 to 896 of the family's 1533-position model. The record is from RNAcentral.